CGCGCGCUAUCAUGCAAGUCGAGCGCUCGUAUUUGACCUUGCUCCGUUCAGUUAGCGACGGAAGGUGAACGACUUGGGUCACCUACCUAUCGAGUCGAAUGAUUCGGGAACCGGGCUAAUGGCGGAUACCCUAGAACAGCAUGGUUCUAUUGUGAAUGAUGGUUUUGCUAUUUUUAUAGUGGACCCGCAUCGUAUUAGCUAGUUGGUAAGGUAAUGGCUUACCACGCUACCAUACGUACCCGACCUGAGAGGGUGAUCGGCCACGCUGGAACUGAGACACGGUCCAAACUCCUACAGAAGCCUGCGGUAGGGAAUCUUCCGCAAUGGGCGAAAGUCUGACGGAGUCACACCGCGUGAGUGAUGAAGGUUUUCGGACUUAUAAUUCUGUUAUUAUGGAAGAACAGUGAGAAAGUAACUGAGCGCAUCUUGACGGUACCUAAUCAGAUAGACCCGGAUAACUACGUGCCACCACCCGCGGUAAUACGUAGGUGGCAAUCGUUAUCCGGAAUUAUCGGGCGUAAAGGGCGCGAAGGCGGUUUCUUAAGUCUGAUUUGAAAUCCCCCGGAUCACCCGUGGAGGGUCAUUAGAAACUGGUAAACUUUAGUGCACAUGAGUGAGUGGAAUUCCGUGUGAAUCCGGUGAAUUGCGCAGAAAUGUGGAGAAAUUCCGGUGACCACAGGGGACUUUCGGGCCUGUACCUGACCCUCAUGGGCCAAAGCGUUGGGGAUCCAAACAGGA
RNAcentral lists this ribosomal RNA (738 nucleotides) under Staphylococcus succinus. Its description in RNAcentral is "bacterial SSU rRNA". It matches the Rfam family "Bacterial small subunit ribosomal RNA", at positions 43 to 777 of the family's 1533-position model. The record is from RNAcentral. Lineage: Bacteria; Bacillati; Bacillota; Bacilli; Caryophanales; Staphylococcaceae.